AAAGGAAUUGACGGGGGCCCGCACAAGCGGUGGAGUAUGUGGUUUAAUUCGACGCAACGCGAAGAACCUUACCAGGUCUUGACAUCUCCUGCUAGCUAUGGAAACAUAGUGUUUCAUUCGAAAGAGUGAACGGGAAGACAGGUGGUGCAUGGUUGUCGUCAGCUCGUGUCGUGAGAUGUUGGGUUAAGUCCCGCAACGAGCGCAACCCCUGCCUUUAGUUGCCAUCACAUAAUGGUGGGCACUCUAAAGGGACUGCCGUUGACAAAACGGAGGAAGGUGGGGAUGACGUCAAAUCAUCAUGCCCUUUAUGAUCUGGGCUACACACGUACUACAAUGGCCGGUACAGACGGAAGCGCAACCGCGAGGUGAAGCGAACCCGAGAAAGCCGGUCCCAGUUCGGAUUGCAGGCUGCAACCCGCCUGCAUGAAGUCGGAAUCGCUAGUAAUCGCAGGUCAGCAUACUGCGGUGAAUACGUUCCCGGGCCUUGUACACACCGCCCGU
Molecule: ribosomal RNA, 501 nt
Filed under: uncultured bacterium
Lineage: Bacteria
Description: bacterial SSU rRNA
Rfam family: Bacterial small subunit ribosomal RNA
Source: RNAcentral